Long non-coding RNA from Onychostoma macrolepis, 756 nucleotides. RefSeq lists it as uncharacterized. The record is from RefSeq and is a predicted model, not a curated record. The transcript has 5 exons. NCBI's taxonomy places the organism in Eukaryota, Metazoa, Chordata, Actinopteri, Cypriniformes, Cyprinidae.
GCUGGACUAAACUGUUUAUAAAGAUUUAAGAAUCGACAUUUUUCUUAAACUAACGCAUCGUUUCGCUUCAGAAGUCCUUUAUUAACACCCCGGAGCCGUGUGGAGUAGUUUUGCGAUGGAUGGGUACUUUUUUUCGGAUUCAGAAACAGGGGCACCAUUCACUGCAAUUAUACAGAUUGGAACAGACAGGACAAUGUUGAAUAUAACUCCGAAUGUGUUCAUCUGAAAGAGGAAUGUCAGACACGCCUAGGAUGACCUGAGGGAAGUAAUCAGACAGUCUCGGAUGUUGAUGCAGUGGAGUAGAAAUUGGCAGACCCCACCUUCCAGAAACAAGUGGUUGCUGUGGUUGCAGAAAUUGGAGUGAGUACUGUGGAUGAAGCCACAAGAAGAAUGAGGGCCUUCCUUUUGGACCACCCCUUAUCAAGAGAGUUCAAUUUUGUUGGCCGGCAUGGAAAGCUACAGUUUCUGGGGCUCAAACUGCUUGAGGUUGUAUAUGGAAGCUUGAAAAAAAUGAUCUUACAAACCAAAUUACCAGAAACGAGGCAGAAAAGUCAGUGUCAAAGUGGCUAAUCGGUGACGGGAGGAAACCGUUCUGCAAGGUCACAUAGUAGAGACUAAGAUGGGAUUGUUGGGAGAGCGAGGACAGAGGAGUGAGGAGCUGUACUGUUGGUGUGUUUGUUUGUGAAAUGUAUUUUAGAGUUUUCAGAUAUGCGUAUACAAAUGAUUCAAGUUAUUCCAAAUAAUGUUUGUCAGGAG